GGGGAUGAUCGGCUUAGACGAUUCAUCUAUCACAUAAACUGCAAGUGGAGCCGAGUAUCUCUUUAAACUUCUCACCAACGAAAUAAGUGCAAACUUAAAUCGUCAACCAGCCCUGGCAUACGCCUAAGGACUGCAUCGCUUCCCGAUCGCUCGGGUAGGGAGUCGCGGUGUCAUAAUCCGAGCUCACGCUGACCCUUUUGGUUAGAAAGAGUCCGCGAACAUCCAAUUCUAACCGGACGUUGAGUUUUUUGUUCGGCCUUCAGCUCAUCGUCUAAAACAGACCGAACUAAGCUUGUAGUAAGUUUUUGUGAACGUGAAUCACACGCGGGUUCGAUUCCCGCCAUCUCCACAA
Molecule: transfer-messenger RNA, 352 nt
Filed under: Candidatus Colwellbacteria bacterium CG10_big_fil_rev_8_21_14_0_10_42_22
Lineage: Bacteria; Candidatus Colwelliibacteriota
Also listed under: 1 other name
Rfam family: transfer-messenger RNA
About the family: Bacterial tmRNA, also known as 10Sa RNA or SsrA, is named for its dual tRNA and mRNA-like properties. Its role is to liberate the mRNA from a stalled ribosome. To accomplish this part of the tmRNA is used as a reading frame that ends in a translation stop signal.
Source: RNAcentral